GGACCCGCACAAGUAGUGGAGCAUGUGGUUUAAUUCGAAGAUACGCGCAGAACCUUACCAACACUUGACAUGUUUGUCGCGACUUUAAGAGAUUAAAGUCUUCGGUUCGGCCGGACAAAACACAGGUGCUGCAUGGCUGUCGUCAGCUCGUGUCGUGAGAUGUUGGGUUAAGUCCCGCAACGAGCGCAACCCUCACUUUUAGUUGCCACCAUUUAGUUGGGCACUCUGAAAGAACUGCCAGUGAUAAGCUGGAGGAAGGUGGGGAUGACGUCAAGUCCUCAUGGCCCUUACGUGUUGGGCUACACACGUGCUACAAUGGCAUUUACAAUAGGACGCAAAACGGCGACGUUGAGCAAAUCCUAAAAAAAUGCCUCAGUUCGGAUUGUACUCUGCAACUCGAGUACAUGAAGCUGGAAUUACUAGUAAUCG
This 429-nucleotide ribosomal RNA is filed under the name uncultured bacterium. RNAcentral's name for it is "bacterial SSU rRNA". It matches the Rfam family "Bacterial small subunit ribosomal RNA", at positions 917 to 1344 of the family's 1533-position model. The record is from RNAcentral.